Molecule: long non-coding RNA, 1689 nt
Filed under: Eucalyptus grandis
Lineage: Eukaryota; Viridiplantae; Streptophyta; Magnoliopsida; Myrtales; Myrtaceae
Description: long non-coding RNA (EGRA_LNC005216)
Source: RNAcentral
GCUCGGACAGAUGCCGUGUCGAGAUGUUUUUUGCGAGCAUAUGCUCGUGGAAAACGGUUUCAUGGAAUCGCUUUUCGGAAUGUAUUGUCUCGUCAUGCGUUUCCAACACCUACCAAUUCGAUCCCUCUUGGUUUUGUUUUUUCAAUUCGAAACGUGGACAAUCUGGAGCUGAACAGUUUAAACAGCUUCACUGUGCGAGGACCUUCAAGGAACUUGUGCCGUUGCUUGCCAGAAAGAAUGACAUCCUAAUAUUCAUUUCUUGCCUCAUAAGACAGGAACUACUUAUUCCAUGAGUACGAAUUGCACCAACAGAAGAUUCCUAGGUGUUCCCUAUUCUCCACCCCAUUCAGUUUUUCCGACGAUAUCUCUCGCGAAAUAUCGGUUCUGCACACAACAGGUUUUGCGGUUCGUGUUCACUUCGCAGAAGAUUUCGUCUGAGUGUCCGGCUCUCCUUCAAUUCGGCUUUGAAAGGAAAUAGAAAUGGCUUCUGAGAAGGCUGUGUUCGGAAAGGAAACAGGCAUGAGCAGCAACCAGGCAAACUGUGCGGCACGGGAGCAUAAGUCGGAGGACAGUGCAUCGAGCUCCAACUUUGGGAAAGUGCUGGUCGAGAGAGCGCUGUUCGGGUCGCGCCGACGCCGUUUCGGUGGUAAAAAGAGCGUGAGCGAGGCUGCCAAGACGCUCCCAAGCAGGCUAAGCAAAGUUUCCUUGGCCGAGGACCACAAGACCAAGGUAUGAACAAGCCUUUCUAACAUCUUAGAGGUGCAAAACGAUUCUGAUUUGAUACAAAAAGCCCAGUUUCCAUGUGCAAUAGAAAUAUGAACACUAUGUAACGUAGCAGGUGGUGAUGAAGCUGUAAAUUUCUAUGUUUAGUUAGACAAAAGAUAUUACAUAACAACGAACUUGGCAGUAAGGAACUUGCAAACGAUUCUUCGGGGCAAGACGAGGGAUAUCAGGUCCCUGGAUUUCGCGAGAUUUUGUUGAUUUCAAACGCUGGUCUAUAUCAAACCACGAUAUGCUGCAUCUGCCGAAUUCGAAAUCUCUCCAGUUUACUCUAGCCCCUUCUCAUAUGUCCAAACAAGCUCCGAUAAUCAAGAGGCCCUUAACUUGGUCAUGUUUGAAACUACGAACUGAAGUAACUCCGCAGAAGAAAUAAUUAAGCGCUUCUACCGGAAAAUACCCGGAAAAGAAAUUGAAGAGCAUAAAAGAUAUCGCAGCCGGAAGACUCCGUCAUUGGAAACAACUACGUUUCGCACCUGAUCCGGUAUGCGACGAUCAAGCUUUCGAACUUUCAAGUCGAUGCAGAGAGGCGCCUCCUCGGUCGGUCACAUAAGGGGACUGAGGGUGUGAACAAGAGGGCCUCUUAGAUCAAAUCGCGAGCUGCGCAAUGAACGGUGCCGGGCGGACCACCAUCACGGGAUCAACGUGAGCUCUCAGCCGCGGGAUCCACAUCGAAUGACAGUCCCGACGUGCUGGUCAUGUCGUUGCCGACGGAUCCGACGUUUCGCAGGUGAGAAGAGACAGUAAGUUGGCCAAUAUGGAUGUACUAGGUUGUGAUCAGGACAUCGACAUCGACAUGUUCGUAUUGCCCGUAGGCCUUCUCCCAGUCCUUGCUUUUUGAUAGGGAAGUGUAAGAAAUCAUGAGCUAAGUUGAAGCUAGGGAACAAAUCCCUCCUUUGCAAUUCAGAAAUA